Camelina sativa (false flax) is the source of this 321-nucleotide non-coding RNA. NCBI's taxonomy places the organism in Eukaryota, Viridiplantae, Streptophyta, Magnoliopsida, Brassicales, Brassicaceae. The record is from RefSeq and is a predicted model, not a curated record.
AUGGUUCAGGGAUCAAUGCUUCUAUUGCUGGGGAGUCUCUUGGCUUCUCUAUUUACUUGAAUCGACUGAUGCUUAUGGUUACCCCUCGUCAGUCCAAGCGGAUAGACUUCAGGUCAGAAUCCUACUAGACGCUGAUUCCUCAUUUAUUCUGCCAACCAUACAGCCAAGAGACACCCUCAAUGGGAGUGGAUCAAGUUACCUAACUGCUACCCCCUUGUAUGAGCAACAUGGCAGAAGAGCUUCAGGUAACCUAGCGACUCAAGCGAGUAUUUUCGACGUAACUUAUACUGCAAAAAGGAGUGGAAUCUAUAAAAUUCUUAU